UGGGGAAUAUUGGGCAAUGGAGGAAACUCUGACCCAGCGACGCCGCGUGAGGGAUGAAGGCCUUCGGGUUGUAAACCUCUUUCAGUAGGGAAGAAGCGAAAGUGACGGUACCUAAAGAAGAAGCACCGGCUAACUACGUG
Molecule: ribosomal RNA, 140 nt
Filed under: uncultured Kineosporia sp.
Lineage: Bacteria; Bacillati; Actinomycetota; Actinomycetes; Kineosporiales; Kineosporiaceae
Description: partial 16S ribosomal RNA
Rfam family: Bacterial small subunit ribosomal RNA
Source: RNAcentral